Molecule: ribosomal RNA, 253 nt
Filed under: uncultured bacterium
Lineage: Bacteria
Description: partial 16S ribosomal RNA
Rfam family: Bacterial small subunit ribosomal RNA
Source: RNAcentral
UACGUAGGGCGCAAGCGUUAUCCGGAAUUAUUGGGCGUAAAGAGCUUGUAGGCGGUCUGUCGCGUCUGCUGUGAAAAUCCGGGGCUCAACCCCGGACUUGCAGUGGGUACGGGCAGACUAGAGUGUGGUAGGGGAGACUGGAAUUCCUGGUGUAGCGGUGAAAUGCGUAGAUAUCGGGAGGAACACCUGCGGCGAAGGCGGCGUCCUGGACCUGGCCUGACGCUCAGGAGCGAAAGCGUGGGGAGCGAUCCGG